CCAAGAAAUUAUCAAGAUUAGAAAUUAGGAAAAAGGAACAUUAAAACAAUGAUUAGAAAUAUAUUUCAUAUUAUAAAAAAGAGAGGAAAGCAUAAGCAUGGUAAAAAGAGACAUGGUAGAUAUAAAAAUAACCUAAGUCAAACUUCUGAAGAUGAAAAAUACAAUGUCUUAGGUAAAGAAAAAAAAAAAACAUGUAGAAUUAAAAAUAGUUUAAUACUGCAGACAAAAAAAAAUGUACAGAACAUCAUUGAGCUGUGCGACAAUUUUAAGCAGCCUAAUAUAUGAGUAAUUGAAGUCCCAAAAGGAGAAGAGAGAGUGGAAGGGAAGAGAAAAGCAGUUUGAAGAAACAAUGACCCCAAAAUUUUUAAUUUUGAUUAAAACAACACAACCAUGAAACAUGAAAAAAGCUAUACAAAGGCAUAUCAGUAAUUAAAUAGCCUAAAAUACACUGAAUUUAAGUGAAUUUUGAAAAUAUUUUAAAUGUCUCCCGCAAAAAACAAAAUACAGUUGGUCCUCAAACAAUGUGAGUUUGAACUGAGUGGGUCCACUUAACACAAUAAUUUUUUGCAAUAAGUAUAGUCAGCCCUCCAUACCAGCCAGUUCCAAAUUCACAACCAAACACAGAUUGAAAAUUCAGUAUUGGAGGGAUGCAAAUCCCACGUGUAAAGAGGGCCGACUUUGCAUAUCCACGAUUUCUGCAGUACCGAUGGCGGGACUGGAGUAUGAGCAGAUUUUGGUAUCCACAAGUGGUUCUGGAACAAAUUCCCCACAGAUACUGAGGAACGACUAAACGGCCUAGACCUGAUCCAAAGUCAGUUUUGUGCUUUGUUCCUAUGACGUUGGCCCAUAAUAUUUUCUUUUCUUUUCUUUUCUUUUCUUUUUUUUGAGACAGUUUCACUCUCGUUACCAAGGCUGAAGUGCAAUGGCACCAACUCAGCUCACCGCAACCUCCGCCUCCUGGGUUCAAGCGAUUCUCCUGCCUCAGCCUCCCGAUGCUGGGUUCACAGGUAUGAGUCACCACGCCCAGCCCAGUUUCUGUUUUGACUAGAUGGUUUGGAUAUAAUCCUAGUAAAAUCUGAUGUACACCCAACUUGCCUUUUCUACAAGUCUGUGAACAUUUGAUUGGUUGAAAUGAUACCUAAAUGUCUUAGGUUGAGCCACAACAAGCUCCACUAACUUUCAAUAGUAAAGCUUAGAGCAUGUCUGUAGCCCUAAAAAAUGUGAGAAUAUUCAGAUCAACUUUCUGUGUUGAAUUUCAUCUCCUCAUUUCUAUUUGUUCAUCUACAAGUUUAUUUCUGUAAUUCUAUUUUUACUUAUGGAGAUUUCAAAUGUCUAUAUCUUGCUUUAUUUAAUUGAAGUAUUCCAGACACCUUAGGUUGGAACAGAACUUUUUCUAUCUAUUUAUACUUCAGGGGCAUUUAGGGAACUUGUUGUUUAAAAGAAAUCAUUUUCUGAUUUUUUUUUUUUUUUUGGAAACAGGGUUUUACUUCUGUUUCCCAGGCCGGAGAACAGUGGGGCGGGUCUGCAUGCCACAGUUCACUGUGGCCUUAACUUACGGGGCUCAGGUGAUUUUCCCAUCUCAGCCUCCUGAAUAGCUGUGACUACAGGCGUAUGCCACCAAGCCUCACUAAUUUUUUGUUUUCUUUGUAGAGGUGUUGCCCAGGCUGGUCUCGAACUCCUGGGCUCAAGCAAUCCACCCACUUUGGCCUCCCAAAGGGCUGAAAUGACAGGCGUGAGCCACCCUGCCUGGCCCAUUUUCUGAAUUUUUUGGUCUAAAUCUGAUUUUUAGAUAUCAAAUUUGCUUAAUACAAGGUACACGGCCAGGCACAGUGGCUCACGCCUGUAAUCCCAGCACUUUAAGAGGCCAAUGCAGGCAAAUCACUUGAGGUCAG
RNAcentral lists this long non-coding RNA (1892 nucleotides) under Homo sapiens (human). RNAcentral's name for it is "HSALNT0008130". The record is from RNAcentral. Lineage: Eukaryota; Metazoa; Chordata; Mammalia; Primates; Hominidae.